UACGGAGGGUGCAAACGUUGCUCGGAAUUAUUGGGCGUAAAGGGUAGGUAGGUGGUGAUAAAAGUCUGGCGUGAAAUCCCUGAGCUUAACUCAGGACGUGCUUUGGAAACUUUAUCACUAGAGUACUAGAGAGGUUCGUGGAAUUCAUGGUGUAGCGGUGAAAUGCGUAGAGAUCAGGAGGAACAUCAGCGGCGAAGGCGGCGAACUGGAUAGUAACUGACACUCAACUACGAAAGCGUGGGGAGCAAACAGG
RNAcentral lists this ribosomal RNA (253 nucleotides) under uncultured bacterium. Its description in RNAcentral is "partial 16S ribosomal RNA". It matches the Rfam family "Bacterial small subunit ribosomal RNA", at positions 524 to 776 of the family's 1533-position model. The record is from RNAcentral.